Molecule: small RNA, 693 nt
Filed under: Pongo abelii (Sumatran orangutan)
Lineage: Eukaryota; Metazoa; Chordata; Mammalia; Primates; Hominidae
Description: retained intron
Source: RNAcentral
CUUCAAGGUGAGGCUUCACAUGGGCUCACCUUGUUUCCUCUGUUCACCUCUGAUCCUGCAUGGGCUGGGAACGCAGGCUGGCUGUGGGCUCCUAGGCGGGGCCCAGGAGGGGCCUGGGCUGAGGAAACGGCAGGGUCAGCUCUCCCAACCCCCGGGGCCUGUGCUGGGCUGUGGGUGGCGACGGCUGCUGCCUCCCUGGGGAGGGCUCCUGACCCCCACUCCUUCUCCAGGUGGACCUGGUGUGUCACGGCAAGACAGAAAUCAUCCCUGACAGGGAUGGCUCCGACCCAUACCAGGAGCCCAAGAGAAGGGGCAUCUUCCAUCAGAUUGACAGUGGCAGCAACCUCACCACAGACCUCAUCGUCCAGCGGAUCAUCACCAACAGGUUGGAGUAUGAGGCGCGAAACCAGAAGAAGGAAGCCAAGGAGCUGGCCUUCCUGGAGGCCGCCAGGCGGCAGGCGGCACAACCCCUGGGGGAGCGCGAUGGCGACUUCUGACCUGGCGGAGACCCUGGCCGGCCCUCCCCCUGCUCUGCUUCUGCGCCUUCUGCGUUUGGACAUAGGACUCUGCAGGGCCGCCCUCUCUAACUGGCCUGGCUCUGGAAGGGCUGGUGAGGACUCUGCCUCCUGCCUGCCUUCAAGGUGCCUGGUUUGCAGCAGGCUCUCCGCCCUUUCCAGCAAAGCUGCUCAGAGA